GGGGUUUGGGGGCCACCAAGUGUGGGCCCCCAGAGAGGGGGGUUGGGGCUAAGCCCCCGCCGAUGUUUUUCUCACAGUAAAAUGGCUAAAAAUGACCCGUUUUCCUUCGAUUUACUUACUUUAAGAAACAUCAGUAUUGCUUGAACCUGGAAGCAAUUUUUAUGCAAAAACAAACUGAGAUUGCUGUUCGGGGUGAGCCAAGGCUCCGCCUUGAAGGCCGUACUUUGACCUAUAAUUAUUAACAUUAAAUACAUUGUGACCGCGGAUUUUGUUCUCAAUAGGGCUAAAAAUCACCCGUUUUCCUUCGAUUUCCUUACUUUAAGAAACAUCAGUAUUUCUGGAAUUUUAUACAAACAAUUAUUAUCUGUAUUUAAAGAUAUUUUUGUUAGAAAUCAAACUGGUAAGUUAAAAAAACAUAUAAAGCAAGAUCAUAGAAAGCAAGAUAUUUUUUGUCGAGGACCUUGAAUUUCAAUAUUUUUGAAAGCUGAACAUACAUGUAUAUAACUACAACCAGAGACUUUCUAAACUAGUAUAUACUUAGUUUAGAAAGUCUCUGCUUCAACGAAUGGGAGUGUUUAACUACUAAGGCAUUGACCAUAAUGUUCUCGUACGAUCGGCCGGGAGACGUUAAAAAAAUGACCCAACAGCUGAUUCAGCCGGUAACGAAUUUCCGAUAUCAUAAAAGAUUCACAAUACAAAGGGAACUUCCUCUGCUUAAUGGAGCCCCUAAAUAAAUGUAAAUAGUUAAGUUUUAUUCAAAAUGGGGCUAAGCCCCCGUCGAUGUUUUUCUCACAGUAAAAUGGCUAAAAAUGACCCGUUUUCCUUCGAUUUACUUACUUUAAGAAACAUCAGUAUUGCUUGAACCUGGAAGCAAUUUUUAUGCAAAAACAAACUGAGAUUGCUGUUCGGGGUGAGCCAAGGCUCCGCCUUGAAGGCCGUACUUUGACCUAUAAUUAUUAACAUUAAAUACAUUGUGACCGCGGAUUUUGUUCUCAAUAGGGCUAAAAAUCACCCGUUUUCCUUCGAUUUCCUUACUUUAAGAAACAUCAGUAUUUCUGGAAUUUUAUACAAACAAUUAUUAACUGUAUUUAAAG
Molecule: long non-coding RNA, 1094 nt
Filed under: Mytilus galloprovincialis (Mediterranean mussel)
Lineage: Eukaryota; Metazoa; Mollusca; Bivalvia; Mytilida; Mytilidae
Source: RNAcentral